UAAAAAUUUAUGAUUUUCAUAAUUUAUUUAUAAUUUAUUUUACAUGUAAAUUUUAGUAUGAUUUUUACAUUAUUUUAAUAAUAAUGAUUUAUUUUGCAGUAAUUAAUAUUAAAAAUUUAAGAAAUUAAGAUUUAGUAAUAUUAAAAUUAUUAACAAAUUUUGUGCCAGCAGUUGCGGUUAUACAAAAAUUAAAAUAAAUUUUUUUAGUUAUAAUAAAUAUAUUUAAUUUAAAUUAAAUUUUAAAUUAUUAAGUGAAAUUUUAAUUUAAUAAAAUUUUAUUUAAGAAAUAUGAUUUAAUAAAUUUAUUAAGAAACUAGGAUUAGAUACCCUAUUAUUAAAAAUUUAAUUUAAAAUACUAAAAUAGUAGAUAAUAUUAUUGAAACUUAAAUAAUUUGGCGGUAUUUUAGUUCAUUUAGAGGAAUCUGUUUAAUAAUUGAUAAUCCACGAAUAAAUUUACUUAAUUUAAUAUUUUGUAUAUCGUUGUUAAAAAAAUAUUUUUAAAUAAAAAUAAUAUUUAAAAAUUAAAAAUAGAAAUUAGUUCAGAUCAAGAUGCAGAUAAUAAUUAAGAAUGUAAUGGAUUACAAUAAAUUUAUUUAAAUGAAUUUUAUUUUUGUAAUAAAUAAUUGAAAUUGGAUUUAAAUGUAAUUUUAUUUAAUUUAAUAAAAUGAUUAAAAAUUAAAAUAUGUACAUAUUGCCCGUCACUUUCAUUUUAAAAUUGGAAUAAGUCGUAACAAAGUAGAGGUACUGGAAAGUGUUUCUAGAAAGAC
Molecule: non-coding RNA, 767 nt
Filed under: Agathymus mariae
Lineage: Eukaryota; Metazoa; Arthropoda; Insecta; Lepidoptera; Hesperiidae
Also listed under: 1 other name
Source: RNAcentral